RNAcentral lists this long non-coding RNA (742 nucleotides) under Heterocephalus glaber (naked mole-rat). RNAcentral's name for it is "lncRNA (ENSHGLG00100039726.1)". The record is from RNAcentral. Lineage: Eukaryota; Metazoa; Chordata; Mammalia; Rodentia; Bathyergidae.
GUGUCUUCCGAAAGCAACAGACUUAAGGGAUCUCGUGGAUAAGAAGAAGAAAACUAAGUUUUUAUCUUGCCAGUUUGGGAGUCGUUAGUAUCCUGGCACCCUUUAGUUAGACGGCAGAUUGACCACAGUCUGGGGAAUUGGCACCCACCGUGCCCCUCAUCCCCAGGUUAAUAUUGAGAGCGUGGAGUCUUUCUUUCCAAAGACACACUUAUGCCUGUGACUUUUCCGGUCCGGUUUCCGGUUUCCUUUAAUUUCCGGGAAAGGCAUUGCUCCCACAAGGCACACAUUGUUUACGCUAUUGUGUGUGUGUGUGUGUGUGUGUGUGAGAGAGAGAGAGAGAGAGAGAGAGAGAGAGAGAGAGAGAGACAGAGAGAGACAGAGAGACAGAGAGAGAUUUUGGGGGUCAAGAAGGUUGGUGAAGUUGUCCCCUGUGGGUCUGGCCACUUUUCAUGUAGAACCAGACACAGGGGUCAGCUCGUGUCUAAGACAAGCAAGGACCGGGAGCAUAACAGAAGGAAGGAAUUUAAUAACGGACAGCGGUGGGACCCAGGAACCUCCGCCUGAGCCCUCUGGCAAGCCUGCACCAGGGAUGGAGCACUGCGCACAGGAGGGCAAAUUUGACCAGAAUCUGAGUCUUCAUUACCCAGGGUGGAGGGUACAAAGUUCAAGCACUUGAUGGAGCCGGAUUCCUGAAGUCAUUUCGAAGGAUAACUUUUCCCUAACUUAAAUGGGGUUCUCUUGU